CUUCAAAAUUCUAGCUUUUGACACAACCAUGCAACCCCCCUCUCCCUCUCGUUUUGUCUUUUUCUUUUUUUGGUGUUUUCUUCAGUUGGUUUGCUGAUUCUUUGACGUUUAUAUUUGGCAAGAGGUGGGAAACUGCCUUCAGACAUUUUACCCCUUCUCUCUCUGUCUCUGUGUCUCUGAUGUGAGAGCCUGUAUACUUACUACAGUGUAAGUUCAGUCUGGGUUUUCUUUGGACAAGAUUAGAACGAAGUGAUAAGUAGAUUUGAGCUUGUAUAUGUGGGACUUCUAUGGUUCUUGUGGAAAUUGUCUGCUGUAUUGUUUCUCCUUUCCAUGAAGAGUACAUAUCGUUUCUGUUGGGGGCUUUAUGGGAAAAUGAAGAUAUAUUUUGCUCUUCUAUGGAUUUUUCAUGUGGGAUUCAACUUUUUCAACUAAUAUUUCGCCACAACAAUUGGGUUGCCGUUUACUAUGUUCGCAGUUGUUUCAGUUUUGAGAGGAAUUCGUUGGACAUGGAAUUACCUUUUAAGCCCUCUUUCUUUAUUUGGCAAAUGGCCUUAUAGUUGUGAUCCUCUGCCUCUAUCAAGAUUAUCUGUUGCAAAGAUGAGGUUCUCUCAUAAUCUAGCAGCACUGCUCACAUUUUCUUCCUACAUGUAUAUGUAACUCUAUUAGUAACAUACUUGUCUAGUGAUGGAAAAUGGCAAUGGUCAUAGGUUUGAGUUUUGGGGCUUUCGACAUAAUUCCUUGCUAUCAGUGCUGUUAUUACAAGUUUUCGGAUAGCAAUGGUUUCAUUCCAUACGUUUUUGUUUACCUCAAUAUUAGCUCUAUCUGAACAUCAUAUAUCAUGUUUAUUUUAAGACAGGGUUGCUCGCCUUUGUUCGUCUUGUUCCAUCCAUGUUCUUGAAGGAAUCUGCUCAGAAUAGGUCCUGAAAUGAUGGUUUCUUACGAGUCUCAUAGCAAUGGGAAUCUGAUUGAUCCAGGCCUACAGAUUAUCAGGCAUCCAUCAUACCAAUCGUCUGGCAGGUUUUCUUUACCUUGGUUUGAUAUACGGGUGUUCUAUGUGAGGAUCAGUAAUUUCAUGGUAGAUGAUUCGACCCCAGAAUAUCUCACCCUGAACAACAUCCCUCUGAGCCCAGAUACAGUUCUUGAAGUGAAUGGAGUGAGAUGCUCCAUGGAUUCAGAAGGAAUCUCGUGCAUUCUUAGAAGGGACCGGGUGGAUAAGAAGUCCGAAGAAUCUACAUUUGUCAGCACGGAUAGCAUAAGGUUAACAGACAGCGUGAAAUUUGAGGUGUUCCAUCAACAGGAUCUUGUGAUCUCUGGGGUUCUAGAAAUGUUAGGUGCCAAUGGUUUUGUAGGGGAAUCAAAUAAUGUAGGCAAGAAGUGGAGCAUGAAUUGUGAAUCCGUAACCAGCGCUGGUGUGGGAUUCUUGAAAGGAAAACAAGUAAUGGGUUCUGAAUCAUUGUCACCUACAAUUGAAGUUUAUGUGGCUGGUUGCUUCUCAGGGACUCCCAUCAUAUUAACCAAGACGUUACAGCUUAGCCCCCGCAAGAAGCAUAGGAAGGCUAUGCUGGGUUCAAUUCCAGAGUAUGAUGCUUCUGAAUCCCAUCAAGAUGCUGCAUCUGGGCAUGAUUUUCAGUUUCUGAGCUAUGUUUAGAAAUCCAUCAUCAUCCGGUCUCUACUAAAUGCAUUGUAGUUUAAGGCUAAACCUCUAUAUUGAAUAAUGUUGAGUCAUUUCACACAUUUGAGAUUGAACUGGUAGAUCAUGGAAAUCUCUUAACUACUAAGUUAUUGCUGAUUGCAUGACCGGCCGCUUGCAUUGAAGUCCACCUCCUUAAAUGAAAAGAAAAUGACUAGGUGUAAGAAAACGAAGAACGGGAUCAAAUGAAGUUUGUUCUUGUCAUCUGUUGUUUUCUUCAAACUAGUGUUAGUUCUUAGACCAAGUUGGAAAAUGUUACUGCUGUUAGUGACUAAUCACUUUUGAAACUAUCGGAAUAAUUCUCAGUUUCCUACAUCCUGGAACAACGCACAAGUAUUAGAUUGAGUAAUCGAUUCAAGGUUUACCCUUAUCCUUGUAUGGAUGUUGACUGCUUCCCGUGAUGAAACAUGCUUCUUCCCAACAAAAGGCCCAUUUCCAUUGAUCUUAGGCACAACCAACACAGAAUCUUAUCUUUGACAUGUCAAGGGGUAUGGGCAGGCACAAAUAUUGAAGAGAUAAGAAAACUAGGUAGGUAGUCUUGAAUUGUGGGGCCCACUACAACACUUUGGCAUUUGUAUGCAAGAUCUCGGACCAUAAGCUAUCUUCUUUAUAGGUUGUGACCGUAACUCAGCUUUCUUGAAGAAUUUCAUGGAAUAUACACGUGUUCCUAACUCUAUCUUAUCAGACCCGAGGCCUUUUCUUGUUUGGAAUUCAGAAAGUCUGAUUUAUGUCAUGGAGAAAAAAACAAGAUAUAUCUGCAGUUUAUGACCCAAAUUCAGUGAUGCUGAUUCUGUAACCUUCUGCGAAGAUAUUUAACUUGAUUAUACCAUUCUUGAUUCUUGUUUGCAUCUUUUGAAAUGGUAAAUGAAUGUUUCUGGAGCCACAUAUUGUGAUGGAUUACGUUGUUCCUUAUUGAUAUUAGUAAAUCUCAUGUUUCAUCGGAAAUGUGCGCAUCUAAAGGGAGA
This is a non-coding RNA of Sesamum indicum (sesame), 2655 nucleotides long. The record is from RefSeq and is a predicted model, not a curated record. Lineage: Eukaryota; Viridiplantae; Streptophyta; Magnoliopsida; Lamiales; Pedaliaceae.